CCAUUUUGAAGCUAUAAACUUAGCCUAUUACCUCUUUAUCCCUUUUCUCACCAAAUAAAACAUUUUCUUAUCCUAGUAGAGGUGAUCAAAAAGAUAAUAAGCGCUUUAUAAAAAGUACCGCAAGGAAAAGUGAAAUAGUUCUGAAAUAGUCUCAAAGCACCAAAUAGCAGAGACUAGCUCUCGUACCUUUUGCAUCAUGGUUUAACUAGUCCUAACAAGCAAAACGAACUGUCAGUUUGAUCCCCCGAAACUAGGCGAGCUACUUCGAAACAGCUCUAAGAGCUAACCCGUCUCUGUUGCAAAAGAGUGGGAAGAUUUCCAAGUAGAAGUGAAAAGCCUACCGAGCCUAGAGAUAGCUGGUUACUCAAAAAAAGAAUUUUAGUUCGCCCGGAAGUUUUUCUAUUUCACCAAAAAGCAUCUAAAACUUAUGAGUUACUCAAAUAAGGCACAGCUUAUUUGAAAAAGGAUACAACCUAAACCAAGGGUUAGCCUGUCAUCUCCCCCUAAGUGGGCCUAAAAGCAGCCACCUUUUAAAAAGCGUUAAAGCUUAAUAAUAACCUCCCCCCCACAAUCCCUCUUUCUAUCGAACCCUGCUUACAAUAUUGAGUAACCUUAUAAGAUUAUAAGAGAUAUAAUGUUAAAACUAGUAACAUGAAGAAGUCCUUCUCCCUAAUGCAAGCAAACACCAAAACGGACUAACCAUUGGCCUUUAACGUUCAUGAGCCUAACCUAGUAACACCCCUUCGAAAACCCUACGCCUACCCACGUUAACCUUACACUAGAGCAUUACCGGAAAGAUAAAAAGAAAAAGAAGGAACUCGGCAAAUCUAGAUCCCGCCUGUUUACCAAAAACAUCGCCUCUUGACAUCCCACCCUUAUAAGAGGUCUAGCCUGCCCAGUGAUAUUUUUAACGGCCGCGGUACUCUGACCGUGCGAAGGUAGCAUAAUCACUUGUUCUUUAAAUGAGGACUAGUAUCAACGGCAUCACGAGGAUUUUACUGUCUCCUUUUUCCUAUCGGUGAAACUGAUCUCCCCGUGAAGAAGCGGGGAUAUUACUAUAAGACGAGAAGACCCCAUGGAGCUUUAAACCCAGAGACACCUCAAACCCUUCCCCCCAUAAAAGUUCUUAUGUGCUGUCCUCUGGUUUUAGGUUGGGGUGACCGCGGAGUAAAACUUAACCUCCACAACGCACGGAACUUCUUCCUUAUCUAAGAGCAACAUCUCAAAGAAUUAACACAUUAACGUAAAAUGUACCAAUAACCUUUAUUUUGAUUAACGAACCAAGUUACCCUGGGGAUAACAGCGCAAUCCAUUUCCAGAGCCCCUAUCGACAAAUGGGUUUACGACCUCGAUGUUGGAUCAGGGUAUCCCAGUGGUGCAGCC
Molecule: ribosomal RNA, 1383 nt
Filed under: Fejervarya limnocharis (Boie's wart frog)
Lineage: Eukaryota; Metazoa; Chordata; Amphibia; Anura; Dicroglossidae
Description: partial 16S ribosomal RNA
Rfam family: Bacterial large subunit ribosomal RNA
Source: RNAcentral